This 301-nucleotide ribosomal RNA is filed under the name uncultured bacterium. RNAcentral describes it as "partial 16S ribosomal RNA". It matches the Rfam family "Bacterial small subunit ribosomal RNA", at positions 509 to 807 of the family's 1533-position model. The record is from RNAcentral.
CAGUAGCCGCGGGAAUACGUAGGGUGCAAGCGUUAAUCGGAAUUACUGGGCGUAAAGCGUGCGCAGGCGGUUAUAUAAGACAGAUGUGAAAUCCCCGGGCUCAACCUGUGAACUGCAUUUGUGACUGUAUAGCUAGAGUACGGCAGAGGGGGAUGGAAUUCCGCGUGUAGCAGUGAAAUGCGUAGAUAUGCGGAGGAACACCGAUGGCGAAGGCAAUCCCCUGGGCCUGUACUGACGCUCAUGCACGAAAGCGUGGGGAGCAAACAGGAUUAGAUACCCCCGUAGUCCCUGUCUCUUAUAC